This 497-nucleotide ribosomal RNA is filed under the name uncultured bacterium. RNAcentral's name for it is "partial 16S ribosomal RNA". It matches the Rfam family "Bacterial small subunit ribosomal RNA", at positions 28 to 507 of the family's 1533-position model. The record is from RNAcentral.
GAUGAACGCUGGCGGCGUGCCUAAUACAUGCAAGUCGAGCGAACAGACGAGGAGCUUGCUCCUCUGACGUUAGCGGCGGACGGGUGAGUAACGCGUGGAUAACCUACCUAUAAGACUGGGAUAACUUCGGGAAACCGGAGCUAAUACCGGAUAACAUGUUGAACCGCAUGGUUCAACAGUGAAAGACGGUCUUGCUGUCACUUAUAGAUGGAUCCGCGCCGCAUUAGCUAGUUGGUAAGGUAACGGCUUACCAAGGCAACGAUGCGUAGCCGACCUGAGAGGGUGAUCGGCCACACUGGAACUGAGACACGGUCCAGACUCCUACGGGAGGCAGCAGUAGGGAAUCUUCCGCAAUGGGCGAAAUCCUGACGGAGCAACGCCGCGUGAGUGAAGAAGGUCUUCGGAUCGUAAAACUCUGUUAUUAGGGAAGAACAAAUGUGUAAGUAACUAUGCACGUCUUGACGGUACCUAAUCAGAAAGCCACGGCUAACUACGUG